UUUUUUUUUUUUUUUUUUUUUUUUUUGGCUGUGCCUUCAGCAUGUAGCAAUUCCUCGGCCAGGGAUUGAACCUGCAUUGUAGCAGUGACCUGAGCCACAGCAGUGACAACACCAGUUUCUUAACCCUCUAGCCAAUUUUUUAAUGGUACUAUUUGUCAUUAAUGAAGGUAUGGAGAAAACCUCUCAUUUUUGGUAGAAAUGUUAAUUGGCACAGCACCCUUAGAGGACAAACGGCAUAUCUAGCCAAAUUUUAAUAUGCAUUCCCUUUCACCAAAUGAGCACACAUUGAGUAUUGGUAGAUUAACCAUAGAUAUGAAUCCAGUACUGAUGAAUGGGGCAAAAAGAAAACUCUCUCUGACCUCAUCCCAAAGGAAUUUUAAAUUUUAUAUAUAUAUAUAUAUACACAUUUUUUUUUUUUUUUUUUUGGUCACACACAGCAUAGGGAAGUUCCUUGGCCAAGGCUUGAACCUGUGCCACAUCAGUGACCUGAGCCACAACAGUGAUGACAUCAAUUCCCCAAAUGCUAGGCCACCAGGAAACUCCAAUAAGAUAUCUGUUUUAUGCAUUUAUACCAUUUUACAUUCUCAAUAACAGUGCACAAGUGUUCUAAUUUCUCUGCAUCCUCACCAUGACAUUGCGAUUUUUAAUAAGAAAUGUAUAUUUGCAUUCUUCCCCUUUUCUGGCACAGAACUCCUAAAACCUGAAGCGUUUCCUAGGAGAUGAGAGCAGGAUGGGGUCUUUUGUUGUGUUUACAAGAUGACUUUUGGACUCCACCUGAGGAUGGGGACUUGACGCCACUGAAGCCAGCCAUGUGACUAGAGAGAUGGAACGCUCAGCCUCACCACCUCUCCGUCCACCUCUGUCCAAGGAAGGGAAGGGUCUGGAGGUGGAAUGGAUUGGCCACAGCCAUCGACUCAAUCAAUCAUGCUUAUAUAAUGAAGGCUCCAUAAAAAGCCAGUUGGGUGGAGCUGAGAGGAAAGUGGCACACUCGGCCCCCAUAUCUUGUUCUAUGCAUCUCUUCCAUCUGGCUGUUCCUGAGUUAGAUCUUUUUGUAAUAAACUGUUAAUCAAGUAAGUCAAUGUUUCUUUGAGUUCUGUGAGCCUGAGCCACUCUAGCAAAGUAAUGGAAUCUGGUCAGGUGUUAGAACUUCUCAUCUACAGCUGGUGGGUCAGAGACAGAGGUGACAACAUGGACUUGCAACUGGUGUCUGAAGUCGGGGUGGGAGGCGGGGUCAAUCUUGUGAGACUGAAACCUCAACCUGUGGGAGGUGGAUAGAUGCUGUCAGAAUUGAGUUAAUUGCUUAAUGGUGGUAGGGGACCCCUCUCCGCAUUGAAAUUGUGAGCAGAACAUUUUACUCACAAACCCUUGUUAUUGUAUGGGUUCUGGGUUCUGGGUUUUGGAUGUGUUUUUUUGUUUGUUUGUUUGUUUUGUUUUUUGGCACUAGCCAGCUUAAUGGGUGUGGAAUCUUCCUCCUUCAAUAGUGAAUUUAACCCAUUCAUGUUUAAUAUAGUUACUGAUUCUUGAUAUCUUAUUUUAGGUUUUUUUAUUUAUGUCUCCCCCCUUUUAUUUUUGCCCCACUUGUGACAUGUGCAAGUUCCCAGGCCAGGGUCUAAAUCCACACCACAGCAGUGACCUGAGCCACUGCAGUGAUGUCAAAUCCUUAACCCACUGCCCCACAAGGGAACUCCCUACAUCACUUUAACUUUUCUAUUUGUAUUGAAUAAAAUGAUCUUUUUCUUUUUGAUCUCUGCCUUCCCCUUACCCAUAAUUUGGAAAGUUAUGCAUACUAUUCCUAUUCUUAUAUUGACAGUCCUUUUUUUUUUCUCUUUAGGGCUGUACCCACAGUAUAUGGAGAUUCCCAGGCUAGGAGUCUAAUCAGAGCCACAGCUGCCAGCCUAUGCCACAGCCACAGCAAUGCCCAAUCUGAACUGUGUCUGCAACCUACAGCAUAGCUCACGGCAAUGCUGGAUCCUUAACCUGCUGAGCAAGGCCAGGAAUCAAACCCAAAACCUCAUUGUUCCUUGUUGGAUUUGUUCCUGUUGCACCACAACAGGAACUCCAGACAGUCCUUAAUUUUAUUAGCACCACGCUCUAACCAACUGAGCUAACUGACCCUUGCCUAGACAGUCCUUAAUUUUAACACUAUUUUUAAAAGCUUAUAUUUACUGAAUACUUAUAUUCCAGACCCUCUGCAAACCAUUGAACAGGUCUCAGUAAUUAAGGGAAGUGAGGGAAUAUAGGAACAGAGGAAAAGUAGUCAAGCAACAAUUAGAGAUAAAAGAGUCUUAGUUCAUCCUCAAGGAAUAUAUAUAACAACCUGACACACGUCUUUGCCGUCUGCAGAAACCAAAGCCCACAACCAGGUGGAGGAGGGAAUGAUGGUGUCGACCUUGACUUCAAUCGCAUGUAGCUUGGACUCCAUUGACCUUCACCUCAAUUCUCUGCAGACUUC
RNAcentral lists this long non-coding RNA (2452 nucleotides) under Sus scrofa (pig). RNAcentral's name for it is "lncRNA (ENSSSCG00055024250.1)". The record is from RNAcentral. Lineage: Eukaryota; Metazoa; Chordata; Mammalia; Artiodactyla; Suidae.